GGGGAUUUAGCUCAGUGGUAGAGUACUUGCCUAGCAAGCACAAGGCCCUGGGUUCGAUCCUCAGCUCCG
RNAcentral lists this transfer RNA (69 nucleotides) under Rattus norvegicus (Norway rat). It matches the Rfam family "tRNA". From Rfam's summary of the family: Transfer RNA (tRNA) molecules are approximately 80 nucleotides in length. Lineage: Eukaryota; Metazoa; Chordata; Mammalia; Rodentia; Muridae. The record is from Rfam by way of RNAcentral.